GUGCCAGCCGCCGCGGUAAUACGAAGGUGGCAAGCGUUACUCGGAAUUACUAGGCGUAAAGGGCAGGUAGGUGGUUUGGUAAGUCUGUUGUGAAAGCUCCUGGCUUAACUGGGAGAGGUCAACAGAAACUACCGGACUUGAGUGUGGGAGAGGGUACUGGAAUUCCCGGUGUAGCGGUGAAAUGCGCAGAGAUCGGGAGGAACACCUAUGGCGAAAGCAGGUACCUGGACCACUACUGACACUCAGCUGCGAAAGCUAGGGGAGCAAACAGGAUUAGAAACCCCUGUAGUCC
This 292-nucleotide ribosomal RNA is filed under the name uncultured bacterium. Its description in RNAcentral is "partial 16S ribosomal RNA". It matches the Rfam family "Bacterial small subunit ribosomal RNA", at positions 505 to 796 of the family's 1533-position model. The record is from RNAcentral.